UGAAGAAUACAAACCUAGUACAAAUGUAUAUAGGGUAAUGAAGAGGCCUCACAUAUAACUGACUGUCAUUGGGUAAUUUGAUUAUUAACAAAAAAUUGAGAAUGGAAAUGGGGAAUGUGUCAAAGAGACAACAACCUGACCAAAGAGCAAAAAACAGCCAAAGACCACCAUGGAUAUACAACACACUGAGAAAAUCCACCACACAGAGGCAUGCUUCAGCUACCACCUAAAAAUGUGUAAUACUCCUUGGAACAUGUGGUCAAGGUUAUAAUAAUUUUUAUAAAUGAACUAAAUUAAAAAUCAUACAAGACUAACAAAGGCCAGAGGCUCCUGACUUGGGACAGGCGCCAAAAUGUUUUGCAAGAUCUCAACCUAUCCUUAUACCCAUGUCUAUAGCUAGCCAUUGUAGAAAAACAAAAACAAUAGGCACAGUAAAUCUCAGUUUAAAAGAAGUAUAUUAUAGUCCUAUGUCAGAAUAGGAAACUAAACAAACAAUGCAAAAUGACGAUACAUAAAUUUAAAAAGGACUACUAGCAGUCACUGACAUGUUCCUCAGACAUAUAUGAACUUAACUAAAUGCCAUACACUAUAUUUUUUAUCACUUAUUUAUUUAUUUUUUAGCAGAUGAAAUAUAUCUUGAAUAUAUUGUAACAAUGUUUUUUUUUUAUAUUUUUUGUUGGUACCCUAACAAAUACUGGUAGGAAAAUAAUUUCUUUGGUUUUAUUCCAAUACAGAUACAUGAAGUCAGACUAAAUGUUUUUGAACCUUGCAUAUCUACUUGAACUUGUUUCAUAGUUUAGCAAAAUUACUUUAUUCAGUAAAAUUUCUAAAGAAAUGUAUAGUUUUGUAAACAUUGACCUCAACAAAUAGCAUUUUAUCAAACUUGGGCAAAUCAUAUUUCAGCAAAAGACUUUGCCAUCCAAUACAUGUUUUUUAUCUUGGAAGAAAAAGAACAACAGUCCUGAUGAUGGUGACAGGUCAAAUUAAUCUAACAGGUAACACAUACAUGACAUAUUGUUUUAAGGCUUUUCCAUUUAAACAUACAUGCAUGCAUAUUGGGACCAGGGAAGACACUUAGAGAUCCAAGAUUACAAUGUGGUGUGGGGUUAAUUGCAAUGAAAAUGUUAGUGAAAUUCUCAAUUGGCUUCUAUCAGUUGUUAACCCUAUUAUGAAUGUGUUUCUCCAGUGUACAAUGUGGAUUAAAAGAAAGACAUAAGCGUAUACAAGCACACUCCUUUUUAUUGAUUAAGAUAAAUAAACAUAUUAACUAUAGAACUUUGAAAAAUCUGUAUUUUUUUUUAUCUGUUUUAUUUAUCCUUCCAUGGAUGGCACUUGUUGUUUAACCUACAUGUACAUUAUUGUUAUGUUAGUUAAGUAAAGUAUACUAAUAGAUUAAACCCAGAUUUUAGAUAAAUAUAGCCUCCUUUUGUUGUGCUUGAUAUCCUAACUUUUUUUUAUACAAUUUAUUAAGAUAAGUAAGUUAACACUUAUAGACAUACUCCAACAAAUAUAAUAUUUUCUUACAACCAGUAUCUAUUUUAAAUUGAGAGUUUGAAAGAAAGAGUCGAAAAAACAAUGCACAAAACCAGACAAAUUGAAACAAAUGCAUGACAUAGGUGUGUUGAAAAACAGAAGGAAUGUUUCUCUGUUUAAGAGUUAUUGUAUGGACUACAAACACAAUACAAACCCUCUUAAAACCCAGGUUAUAUCAGGUGUUAAGAGUGAGCAUACACUGCUUGUAUAUGAUUUAUAGUUCAUAACAGUCUGUCAUCCUGUACCUCUGGCAAACCUUGUAAAUUAGCCAUACUUGGUAUAGAAUAAAGAUUAUUUGUACACAAUGAUUUUCGAUGUAAAGUUUCACGUCUAUAUAGGAAAAUAACUUUGUAUAAUUUUCAUAUUUCUGUUUCCUGUAAACUAGUAACGAUUACCAGUAUAGUUGUAUAGUUCUGACCAUUUUGUCAAACAUCUAAACUUGUAAUAAUAUUCCGUGAACAUUUUGGUACAGGAUUGUGGGUAAAACUCUUAAAAUAUAAAUAUUUCUGUAACAAUUUUACAUGUAAUAACAAUUAACCACUUCAUGAUAUCCAUUACCAAAACUGUUGUAUAGUCUGAUUAUAUCCACAUAAUUUACUUUGCUUUUCAGAUACUAGUGAAGAAAUCAAGAAACAAGAGUAGACACCAUUUGACCAACUGUGCUUACAGUACUUGUGCAACAGUUGUGAUUGAUGUCCAUAUUACAUUGUAGUAUGAUAAUACUUUACAGCAUCCACAGAAUUAUCAUCUUGGUCGUCAAUGCCUCUCAUUUCAUAAUAAAUUGCAUUUGUUAUUUAGGUUGUAUGAUUUUCUAAAACGACUUUUUUGUUAGUAAUGGAGUAGAAUGUUGAAAAACAAAUGACAAAGAAAAUU
RNAcentral lists this long non-coding RNA (2406 nucleotides) under Mytilus galloprovincialis (Mediterranean mussel). The record is from RNAcentral. Lineage: Eukaryota; Metazoa; Mollusca; Bivalvia; Mytilida; Mytilidae.